CUUGGUCAUUUAGAGGAAGUAAAAGUCGUAACAAGGUUUCCGUAGGUGAACCUGCGGAAGGAUCAUUAUCAAAAGUCAAGUCGGGGGCUGUAAAGCUCUCGUCUACACCCAUGUCUUUUGCGUACUCUUGUUUCCUCGGUGGCGCAAGCUGCCGAUUGGACAAACCAAAACCUUUUUUGUAAUUGCAAUUAGCGUCUGAAAAUAAUCUAAUUAUUUACAACUUUCAACAACGGAUCUCUUGGUUCUGGCAUCGAUGAAGAACGCAGCGAAAUGCGAUAAGUAGUGUGAAUUGCAGAAUUCAGUGAAUCAUCGAAUCUUUGAACGCACAUUGCGCCCCUUGGUAUUCCAUGGGGCAUGCCUGUUCGAGCGUCAUUUGUACCCUCAAGCUUUGCUUGGUGUUGGGCGUCUUGUCGUAUUACGACUCGCCUUAAAUUCGUUGGCAGCCGGCACUUUGGCCUAGGAGCGCAGCACAUUUUGCGAUCGUAGCCCGUUGUACUGGCGUCCAUCAAGAACAUUUACCACGUUUGACCUCGGAUCAGGUAGGGAUACCCGCUGAACUUAAGCAUAUCAAUAAGCGGAGGA
This 582-nucleotide ribosomal RNA is filed under the name uncultured Ascomycota. RNAcentral describes it as "eukaryotic LSU rRNA". The stretch from base 219 to 372 matches the Rfam family "5.8S ribosomal RNA". Lineage: Eukaryota; Fungi; Ascomycota. The record is from RNAcentral.